Molecule: ribosomal RNA, 261 nt
Filed under: uncultured archaeon
Lineage: Archaea
Description: partial 16S ribosomal RNA
Rfam family: Archaeal small subunit ribosomal RNA
Source: RNAcentral
UAGGCGUAAAUGAUGCGAGUUAAGUGUGGGGGCAUCUACGAGAUGGCCCUGUGCUGUAGGGUAGCCGUUAAACUCGCUGCCUGGGGAGUACGGUCGCAAGGCUGAAACUUAAGGGAAUUGGCGGGGGAGCACCACAAGAGGUGGAGGCUGCGGUUCAAUUGGACUCAACGCCGGAAAACUCAUCGGGAGCGACAGCAGUAUGAUUGCCAGGUUGAUGACCUUGCUUGACAAGCUGAGAGGAGGUGCAUGGCGUAGUCGUGU